GGAGAGGUCGCAUAGUGGCCUAGUGCGCUCGCUUGGAAAGCGAGUAUACCGCAAGGUAUCGGGAGUUCGAAUCUCCCCCUCUCCG
This 85-nucleotide transfer RNA is filed under the name Candidatus Uhrbacteria bacterium. Its description in RNAcentral is "tRNA-Ser". It matches the Rfam family "tRNA". Rfam says of the family: Transfer RNA (tRNA) molecules are approximately 80 nucleotides in length. Their secondary structure includes four short double-helical elements and three loops (D, anti-codon, and T loops). Lineage: Bacteria; Candidatus Uhriibacteriota. The record is from RNAcentral.